ACUGUUCCCCAACACGUGCUAAACCUACCCUGGACACGGGGACAACCCCGGGAAACUGGGGCUAAUCUUCUAUAGACGAAAACUCCUGAAAUGGGUUUUCAUCCAAAAGGUGUUGCACCUGUGCUCUGGAACGUCGCUCAAGGAUGGGGCCGCGCCCGAUCGGGUAGUUGACGGGUGGACGUAUCGCCAAGUCUAUUCCCGGUACGUCCCGCGGGAUUGGGACCUCACCGAUGGACGCUUUUAAAAGGGUCCACUUCCUACCUGGCGGACCUCCCGGGAUUAUUCCGCAAUGCACCUACCCGUGACACUACCUACCCACCUCGCCGUCCCCUGAGGAUGGCUUUUCUCUGCUGUAAGGAGGCAGAGGAAUAACGAGAGGGCGGUCUGGUGUUCCGCGCCGCUACAAUACCUUUUCUCCCAGUGGUAGGGACAAUUAUUGGGCUAAAUGCGAUCACAGCCGGUUCUGCAAGCCUCUCUUUCCAUCCCUUAAUUCCCUCGUUGGACUGCCGGAGAUACUGCUGAGCUAGGGGGCGGGAGAAGCCGACGGUAUUUCCGGGGUAGGGGUAAAAUCCUAUAAUCCCGGAAAGACCACCACCGGCGUACGCGGUCGGCUAGCACGCGCUCCACCUCGAGGGACGAAAGCUGGGGGAGCGAACCGGAUUAGAUACCCGGGUAGUCCCAGCUGUAAACGAUGCGGGCUAGGUGUUGGAGCGGCUACGAGCCGCUUCAGUGCCGCAGGGAAGCCAUUAAGCCCGCCGCCUGGGGAGUACGGCCGCAAGGCUGACACUGAUAKGAAUUGSCGGGGGAGCAC
Molecule: ribosomal RNA, 811 nt
Filed under: uncultured Sulfolobales archaeon
Lineage: Archaea; Thermoproteati; Thermoproteota; Thermoprotei; Sulfolobales
Description: bacterial SSU rRNA
Rfam family: Archaeal small subunit ribosomal RNA
Source: RNAcentral